This 509-nucleotide ribosomal RNA is filed under the name uncultured Alphaproteobacteria bacterium. Its description in RNAcentral is "bacterial SSU rRNA". It matches the Rfam family "Bacterial small subunit ribosomal RNA", at positions 378 to 905 of the family's 1533-position model. The record is from RNAcentral. Lineage: Bacteria; Pseudomonadati; Pseudomonadota; Alphaproteobacteria.
AAAGCCUGAUCCAGCAAUGCCGCGUGGAUGAAGAAGGUCUUCGGAUUGUAAAGUCCUUUUGGCGGGGACGAUGAUGACGGUACCCGCAGAAUAAGCUCCGGCUAACUUCGUGCCAGCAGCCGCGGUAAUACGAAGGGGGCUAGCGUUGCUCGGAAUGACUGGGCGUAAAGGGCGCGUAGGCGGACGGCACAGUCAGGCGUGAAAUUCCUGGGCUCAACCUGGGGACUGCGUCUGAGACGUGUUGUCUUGAGUAUGGAAGAGGGUUGUGGAAUUUCCAGUGUAGAGGUGAAAUUCGUAGAUAUUGGAAAGAACACCGGUGGCGAAGGCGGCAACCUGGUCCAUUACUGACGCUGAGGCGCGAAAGCGUGGGGAGCAAACAGGAUUAGAUACCCUGUAGUCCACGCUGUAAACGAUGUGUGCUGGAUGUUGGGGUGCUUAACACUUCAAGUGUCGUAAGCUAACGCGGUAAGCACACCGCUGGGGAGUACCGGCGCAAGGUGAAACUUAAA